This 440-nucleotide ribosomal RNA is filed under the name uncultured Pseudomonadota bacterium. RNAcentral describes it as "bacterial SSU rRNA". It matches the Rfam family "Bacterial small subunit ribosomal RNA", at positions 29 to 505 of the family's 1533-position model. Lineage: Bacteria; Pseudomonadati; Pseudomonadota. The record is from RNAcentral.
AGCGAUCGUUGGCGGUAGGCCUAACACAUGCAAGUCGAACGAGAAACACACUUCGGUGUGUGGAAAGUGGCGGACGGGUGAGUAUAACAUGGGAAUCUGCCCUGAAGUGGGGGAUAACUGCUGGAAACAGCAGCUAAUACCGCAUAUGCUGAAAAGUGAAAGCUCCGGCGCUUCAGGAUGAGCCCAUGCUCCAUUAGCUUGUUGGUGAGGUAAAAGCUCACCAAGGCAACGAUGGAUAGCUGGUUUGAGAGGAUGAUCAGCCACACUGGGACUGAGACACGGCCCAGACUCCUACGGGAGGCAGCAGUGAGGAAUAUUGCACAAUGGGGGAAACCCUGAUGCAGCCAUACCGCGUGCGUGAAGAAGGCCCUAGGGUUGUAAAGCGCUUUCAGUAGGGAAGAUAAUGACGGUACCUACAGAAGAAGUCCCGGCUAACUCCG